RNAcentral lists this transfer RNA (64 nucleotides) under Myrianida brachycephala. RNAcentral's name for it is "tRNA-Met". Lineage: Eukaryota; Metazoa; Annelida; Polychaeta; Phyllodocida; Syllidae. The record is from RNAcentral.
AAUAAAAUAAGCUAAAUAAAGCUCAUGGGCUCAUAACCCAUAAAUGGAGAUUAUCCUUUUAUUA